Molecule: unclassified non-coding RNA, 748 nt
Filed under: Hevea brasiliensis (rubber tree)
Lineage: Eukaryota; Viridiplantae; Streptophyta; Magnoliopsida; Malpighiales; Euphorbiaceae
Source: RNAcentral
UUUUUAUUUAUUGGGAAAUUUUAGAGUUGAUAGUGCUAUUUCAACUUUAACAAAUAUUUGAUUCGAUGGAUUUUGAGCUUGGGGACUUCAACAUCCAUAGCUCGGCAUAACAGGAACUGCAAUACUUCUCUUUCUUUAGUAAUAUGUCAAAUCCAUUCAAUUUCCUUUUUGCCUUUGGGAAAUUGAGUGAAAGAGAGAUUUUUAAGAAUAUACUGGAGUGAGGAAACAAUAAAUAAUGUUGCCUUCUCUAUCUGUCUUUUUGUCUCUUAAAGAAAGAAGUGAACAGAUUUAUUUUUUGACGGGGCUUGGAAGCAGAGUGUAGAUAGAUGUAUUUCCUGGACUGAACUAAUGACUGCUUAAUCUUUAGUUGCUUGGAAAGGCCAACUUGUCAGAGUAAUUUGGAAGUUCACUGUUAGUAAGGAUUUGUAGAUGGGGCAUCGCUACAGGGCUACAUAUGCUGGAUUGUUUUUCUGCUACUUUUCUUUGUUCAAUCAAUGUGUACUUUUUCCACUUAAAAUAAGGGGUUGCCUAUUAUCAUUACUUCUACUCUUAAUAAUCUUUAUAUAUUUUGUCUACUUGCUUCUUGAGUUUUUGAAUUCCAUGUAAUAUGUCAAAUACUAUGUAGUGGGUAUUUUUCUUUUCUCCCAUGUUUUCUCUGCAAUGUGUCUGCAUAUGGUUGCUGUUUACUCGUCUCAUUUUUUUCCCAACCUAAGAAUUUUAUACUCAUAAAGAGUUGGUAGGAAAGACU